UCAGUCUAUGUAUUCCUGUGUCUCCUACGUACUCCUUGUGUUUGGAUUAGUAGAAGACUGUGGUUUGAAGUGUCUGUAGGGUGGGCUUGUGAAGUGUGCAAGCGGCUUCCCACAAGCAUCUCUCACUGCUGCAAGGGCACAGUGGGUUGGGGCUUGGCAACAGUAUCCACGGCAACAGUUGCUGCAGCAGGCCGGUUAACACUUUACUGACAGAAAAUUGUUCUGAGCAUGUGCAAGAUGACCGCCCUCUGAUAGGAGAAGGUCAUGGUGAGGACACCGGUGAGAUUUUCCCUCUGUUGCCUCAUCCAGUCAUUGUCCUUCCACCAGUUCAAACACACCACAAGAAAAACAUGAAUAAUUCA
Molecule: long non-coding RNA, 362 nt
Organism: Sinocyclocheilus grahami
Lineage: Eukaryota; Metazoa; Chordata; Actinopteri; Cypriniformes; Cyprinidae
Exons: 3
Source: RefSeq, a predicted model, not a curated record